CCCUGUCUGAGGCGGGCUGGACCUCUCGGGGUUACAGCCUUGCUGAAUUAUUCACCCUUGUCUUUUGCGUACUUCUUGUUUCCUUGGUGGGUUCGCCCACCACUAGGACAAACAUAAACCUUUUGUAAUUGCAAUCAGCGUCAGUAACAAAUUAAUAAUUACAACUUUCAACAACGGAUCUCUUGGUUCUGGCAUCGAUGAAGAACGCAGCGAAAUGCGAUAAGUAGUGUGAAUUGCAGAAUUCAGUGAAUCAUCGAAUCUUUGAACGCACAUUGCGCCCUUUGGUAUUCCAAAGGGCAUGCCUGUUCGAGCGUCAUUUGUACCCUCAAGCUUUGCUUGGUGUUGGGCGUCUUGUCUCUAGCUUUGCUGGAGACUCGCCUUAAAGUAAUUGGCAGCCGGCCUACUGGUUUCGGAGCGCAGCACAAGUCGCACUCUCUAUCAGCAAAGGUCUAGCAUCCAUUAAGCCUUUUUUUCAACUUUUGACCUCGGAUCAGGUAGGGAUACCCGCUGAACUUAAGCAUAUCAAAAACGGGGAAGGAAAAAAGAGGGGAGCUAAUCAAUUAAGCGGGGGGAGAGGGGAAUCCUCCUGGGGGUUUACGGCCAGGGAAAAAUUAUCCACCCGUGGUCUUUUUGCGUACUUUUGUUUCCCUGGGUGGGGUUCACCCACACUAGAACAAACAAAAACUUUUGUAAAUUGACAAUCGGCGUCGUUACAAAUUAAUAAUUACACUUACAACGGAGCUUGGUCUGGCUGGAAUAUAGCACGAUGCAUUAGUAAUGGUGAAUUGCAGAUUCGAUGAUCACGACCUUGAGCAAUGCUGAUUCUAGGGAGGCUUUCAGCCUUAGUACUAGCUAAUGUCUGGGAU
This 866-nucleotide ribosomal RNA is filed under the name Alternaria sp. NsE+1. Its description in RNAcentral is "eukaryotic LSU rRNA". The stretch from base 163 to 316 matches the Rfam family "5.8S ribosomal RNA". The record is from RNAcentral. Lineage: Eukaryota; Fungi; Ascomycota; Dothideomycetes; Pleosporales; Pleosporaceae.